This 2762-nucleotide ribosomal RNA is filed under the name Escherichia coli HVH 1 (4-6876161). Its description in RNAcentral is "bacterial LSU rRNA". It matches the Rfam family "Bacterial large subunit ribosomal RNA". The record is from RNAcentral. Lineage: Bacteria; Pseudomonadati; Pseudomonadota; Gammaproteobacteria; Enterobacterales; Enterobacteriaceae.
CACACUAUCAUUAACUGAAUCCAUAGGUUAAUGAGGCGAACCGGGGGAACUGAAACAUCUAAGUACCCCGAGGAAAAGAAAUCAACCGAGAUUCCCCCAGUAGCGGCGAGCGAACGGGGAGGAGCCCAGAGCCUGAAUCAGUGUGUGUGUUAGUGGAAGCGUCUGGAAAGGCGUGCGAUACAGGGUGACAGCCCCGUACACAAAAAUGCACAUAUUGUGAGCUCGAUGAGUAGGGCGGGACACGUGGUAUCCUGUCUGAAUAUGGGGGGACCAUCCUCCAAGGCUAAAUACUCCUGACUGACCGAUAGUGAACCAGUACCGUGAGGGAAAGGCGAAAAGAACCCCGGCGAGGGGAGUGAAAAAGAACCUGAAACCGUGUACGUACAAGCAGUGGGAGCCUCUUUAUGGGGUGACUGCGUACCUUUUGUAUAAUGGGUCAGCGACUUAUAUUCUGUAGCAAGGUUAACCGAAUAGGGGAGCCGAAGGGAAACCGAGUCUUAACUGGGCGUUAAGUUGCAGGGUAUAGACCCGAAACCCGGUGAUCUAGCCAUGGGCAGGUUGAAGGUUGGGUAACACUAACUGGAGGACCGAACCGACUAAUGUUGAAAAAUUAGCGGAUGACUUGUGGCUGGGGGUGAAAGGCCAAUCAAACCGGGAGAUAGCUGGUUCUCCCCGAAAGCUAUUUAGGUAGCGCCUCGUGAAUUCAUCUCCGGGGGUAGAGCACUGUUUCGGCAAGGGGGUCAUCCCGACUUACCAACCCGAUGCAAACUGCGAAUACCGGAGAAUGUUAUCACGGGAGACACACGGCGGGUGCUAACGUCCGUCGUGAAGAGGGAAACAACCCAGACCGCCAGCUAAGGUCCCAAAGUCAUGGUUAAGUGGGAAACGAUGUGGGAAGGCCCAGACAGCCAGGAUGUUGGCUUAGAAGCAGCCAUCAUUUAAAGAAAGCGUAAUAGCUCACUGGUCGAGUCGGCCUGCGCGGAAGAUGUAACGGGGCUAAACCAUGCACCGAAGCUGCGGCAGCGACACUAUGUGUUGUUGGGUAGGGGAGCGUUCUGUAAGCCUGUGAAGGUGGCCUGUGAGGGUUGCUGGAGGUAUCAGAAGUGCGAAUGCUGACAUAAGUAACGAUAAAGCGGGUGAAAAGCCCGCUCGCCGGAAGACCAAGGGUUCCUGUCCAACGUUAAUCGGGGCAGGGUGAGUCGACCCCUAAGGCGAGGCCGAAAGGCGUAGUCGAUGGGAAACAGGUUAAUAUUCCUGUACUUGGUGUUACUGCGAAGGGGGGACGGAGAAGGCUAUGUUGGCCGGGCGACGGUUGUCCCGGUUUAAGCGUGUAGGCUGGUUUUCCAGGCAAAUCCGGAAAACCAAGGCUGAGGCGUGAUGACGAGGCACUACGGUGCUGAAGCGACAAAUGCCCUGCUUCCAGGAAAAGCCUCUAAGCAUCAGGUAACAUCAAAUCGUACCCCAAACCGACACAGGUGGUCAGGUAGAGAAUACCAAGGCGCUUGAGAGAACUCGGGUGAAGGAACUAGGCAAAAUGGUGCCGUAACUUCGGGAGAAGGCACGCUGAUAUGUAGGUGAAGCGACUUGCUCGUGGAGCUGAAAUCAGUCGAAGAUACCAGCUGGCUGCAACUGUUUAUUAAAAACACAGCACUGUGCAAACACGAAAGUGGACGUAUACGGUGUGACGCCUGCCCGGUGCCGGAAGGUUAAUUGAUGGGGUUAGCGGUAACGCGAAGCUCUUGAUCGAAGCCCCGGUAAACGGCGGCCGUAACUAUAACGGUCCUAAGGUAGCGAAAUUCCUUGUCGGGUAAGUUCCGACCUGCACGAAUGGCGUAAUGAUGGCCAGGCUGUCUCCACCCGAGACUCAGUGAAAUUGAACUCGCUGUGAAGAUGCAGUGUACCCGCGGCAAGACGGAAAGACCCCGUGAACCUUUACUAUAGCUUGACACUGAACAUUGAGCCUUGAUGUGUAGGAUAGGUGGGAGGCUUUGAAGUGUGGACGCCAGUCUGCAUGGAGCCGACCUUGAAAUACCACCCUUUAAUGUUUGAUGUUCUAACGUUGGCCCGUAAUCCGGGUUGCGGACAGUGUCUGGUGGGUAGUUUGACUGGGGCGGUCUCCUCCUAAAGAGUAACGGAGGAGCACGAAGGUUGGCUAAUCCUGGUCGGACAUCAGGAGGUUAGUGCAAUGGCAUAAGCCAGCUUGACUGCGAGCGUGACGGCGCGAGCAGGUGCGAAAGCAGGUCAUAGUGAUCCGGUGGUUCUGAAUGGAAGGGCCAUCGCUCAACGGAUAAAAGGUACUCCGGGGAUAACAGGCUGAUACCGCCCAAGAGUUCAUAUCGACGGCGGUGUUUGGCACCUCGAUGUCGGCUCAUCACAUCCUGGGGCUGAAGUAGGUCCCAAGGGUAUGGCUGUUCGCCAUUUAAAGUGGUACGCGAGCUGGGUUUAGAACGUCGUGAGACAGUUCGGUCCCUAUCUGCCGUGGGCGCUGGAGAACUGAGGGGGGCUGCUCCUAGUACGAGAGGACCGGAGUGGACGCAUCACUGGUGUUCGGGUUGUCAUGCCAAUGGCACUGCCCGGUAGCUAAAUGCGGAAGAGAUAAGUGCUGAAAGCAUCUAAGCACGAAACUUGCCCCGAGAUGAGUUCUCCCUGACUCUUUGAGAGUCCUGAAGGAACGUUGAAGACGACGACGUUGAUAGGCCGGGUGUGUAAGCGCAGCGAUGCGUUGAGCUAACCGGUACUAAUGAACCGUGAGGCUUAACCUU